RNAcentral lists this ribosomal RNA (484 nucleotides) under uncultured bacterium. Its description in RNAcentral is "partial 16S ribosomal RNA". It matches the Rfam family "Bacterial small subunit ribosomal RNA", at positions 30 to 507 of the family's 1533-position model. The record is from RNAcentral.
AUUGAACGCUGGCGGCAGGCCUAACACAUGCAAGUCGAGCGGAUGAAGGGAGCUUGCUCCUGGAUUCAGCGGCGGACGGGUGAGUAAUGCCUAGGAAUCUGCCUGGUAGUGGGGGAUAACGUCCGGAAACGGGCGCUAAUACCGCAUACGUCCUGAGGGAGAAAGUGGGGGAUCUUCGGACCUCACGCUAUCAGAUGAGCCUAGGUCGGAUUAGCUAGUUGGUGGGGUAAAGGCCUACCAAGGCGACGAUCCGUAACUGGUCUGAGAGGAUGAUCAGUCACAAUGGAACUGAGACAAGGUCCAGACUCCUACGGGAGGCAGCAGUGGGGAAUAUUGGACAAUGGGCGAAAGCCUGAUCCAGCCAUGCCGCGUGUGUGAAGAAGGUCUUCGGAUUGUAAAGCACUUUAAGUUGGGAGGAAGGGCAGUAAGUUAAUACCUUGCUGUUUUGACGUUACCAAAAGAAUAAGCACCGGCUAACUUCGUG